ACAGAUUCUCACCCUGCUUCAGCAUUCGCCCCCACCUCCGUGAGUCCCUGCUUGGAUAGCGUUCCCCCGAGUGGCCCGGCCUCAGCAGGGCCUGCACCACCAAACUGGACAGCCAUGGGUGUGUAACCUCUUUUUGGGCCUGAGAAACAGACCUUUCUCUCCACUCAGAGCUCCGGCUUCAGCUAUUGUGCUUCCGAAUGCCACUACCAUCAGAUAUGCCAUCUACAGAACUUAACACCUGAGCACCCACCCUUCAGGGCCACCCAUGGGCCCAAAACGGGAUAAAGGAGCCAUUCCCUGACAUAGGAGGAAAACAUUUGCUGAGAAGCUACUGUGUGCCAGACACAAUCUUGGACUUUCACUUAAUCCUCAAAACAGCCCUAGGAAGAAGUACCUACCGUUAACAGAUAAGAAAGCUGAGACCCACGGUUUACACAGCUAAGGAGAGCAAAGGUUUUAACCCAGGACUGUCCUGACUCCACAACAUCAAAGUUGUUGUUUUGUUUUUGGUGUUUUGUAGAAACAGGAUCUCCCUAUUAUUACCCAGGCUGGUCUCAAACUCCUGGG
RNAcentral lists this long non-coding RNA (567 nucleotides) under Homo sapiens (human). Its description in RNAcentral is "STK4 divergent transcript". Lineage: Eukaryota; Metazoa; Chordata; Mammalia; Primates; Hominidae. The record is from RNAcentral.